This 951-nucleotide long non-coding RNA is filed under the name Capsella rubella. RNAcentral describes it as "long non-coding RNA (CRUB_LNC003481)". The record is from RNAcentral. Lineage: Eukaryota; Viridiplantae; Streptophyta; Magnoliopsida; Brassicales; Brassicaceae.
AUCUCUCCAAAUAAUUUAUAAUUUUAUGUAAAAGUAAUUGGGAGAGGGAAGUGGGUCACAAAGGCGAACAAGUCAUUCGACUUCUGUUGUUUGUUUGUUUGUUUGUUGUGGCCAUAACUACUAACGACGGCUUUUGUUCCCACAUGAUGAUGAUAAUUAUUGGCAGAUGAUGAGGCGGAGGCCCUCUCGCUUGCGGGAAAAGACAAAAUCCCCUUUUUCUACCUCUUCGCUCGCCUGUAUUGCCCAUAUAUCCCAAACCAUAUAUUGUAUGUCCAACGUUUGCUAAACGCAAUUAAUUUGAGAUCAAAAGACUUGGUCGAUCGGUUUUUCCAACCAAAUCCAAAAAUUGUGGACUCCCGCCGAACCAAAAAGCACAAAUGACCUAACCAAAAUAUAUUAAAAUAAAUACUUGUUUAAGAGGUUUUUUGGAUUGGUCUCUCUGUCACUGAGAGGUCAUUGAUCUGUUCGUAUUCUUCGUGCUGCCCUUUUGUAAUUAAAGAUCAUUGACGACUGCGAGUAAAACAAAACAAAUGAGAUUUACGUCAAGACGAGAUAUGUUAAUUAAACAAAAACACAUAUAUAUGACCGCAGCAGAGAGCUAGACGUUAUACAACUCAUAUUAUUUUAAAUGACCAACCAUUAUAUUUAUAUUCAUUGCCUCGACUCUGCUAUCGUACUCUGUCCUCCUCCUCGCUUACAAUGUCGACUAGCUGUACUUGCUAUAUAUAUCGAACCAAAUAAUUCAUAGUUUAUGGUGUUUUUCCGUAAUUCAUCGUUUUUUUUUUUUUGCCCUCUACUUAAUUUACAUAUAAAAUAGUCCUAAUUAAUACCGUUAUAUUGCUCAGACUCAGAGUAUAGGAAACAAUAACAACAUAAUUUUUUCCGCGUUUUCUCUAUGUCUUUUGCAAAAUAUUUUUGCAUUCUAAAAAAUACAAUGCCAAAUUAUAAAAU